This 577-nucleotide ribosomal RNA is filed under the name Formica cunicularia. RNAcentral's name for it is "partial 16S ribosomal RNA". The stretch from base 430 to 577 matches the Rfam family "Archaeal large subunit ribosomal RNA", at positions 2542 to 2690 of the family's 2987-position model. The record is from RNAcentral. Lineage: Eukaryota; Metazoa; Arthropoda; Insecta; Hymenoptera; Formicidae.
CACCUGUUUAUCAAAAACAUGGUUUUAUGAUUAUAUUUUAAGAUUUAUUCUGCUCAAUGAUAAUAGAUUAAUUAUUAAAUAGCCGCAGUAUUUUGACUGUGCAAAGGUAGCAUAAUCAAUUGUCUUUUAAUUAAUGACUGGAAUGAAGGAAUGAAUGAAAUUUAAACUGUCUAUAAUAAAAAAUUUUAAUUUUAAUUUUAAGUCAAAAUGCUUAAAUGAAAUUAUGGGACGAGAAGACCCUAUAGAAUUUUAUAUAAAUUUUUAAAUAAUUAUGUGAGUAAAAAAAUUAAAUUUAAAAUUAUAUUUUAUUGGGAGGAUAAUUAAAAUAAUUUAACUUUAUUAAUUAAUAAUAUUAUAUAAAUAGACAUUAAUUUAUGAAAAAAUGAAUAAAUUUUUUAUUGAAUUUAUAUUAGAAUUAAUUACCUUAGGGAUAACAGCGUUAUAUUUUUUAAAAGAUCGUAUUAAGAAAAAUGUUUGCGACCUUGAUGUUGAAUUAAAGUAAAAAUUAAAUGAAGAAGUUUAAUAUUUUAGUCUGUUCGACUAUUAAAAUUUUACAUGAUUUGAGUUCAAAUCGACG